Molecule: ribosomal RNA, 433 nt
Filed under: uncultured bacterium
Lineage: Bacteria
Description: partial 16S ribosomal RNA
Rfam family: Bacterial small subunit ribosomal RNA
Source: RNAcentral
AGCGAACGCUGGCGGCAGGCCUAACACAUGCAAGUCGAACGGAUCCUUCGGGAUUAGUGGCGGACGGGUGAGUAACACGUGGGAACGUGCCCUUUGGUUCGGAACAACUCAGGGAAACUUGAGCUAAUACCGGAUGUGCCCUUCGGGGGAAAGAUUUAUCGCCAUUGGAGCGGCCCGCGUCUGAUUAGCUAGUUGGUGGGGUAACGGCCCACCAAGGCGACGAUCAGUAGCUGGUCUGAGAGGAUGAUCAGCCACACUGGGACUGAGACACGGCCCAGACUCCUACGGGAGGCAGCAGUGGGGAAUCUUGCGCAAUGGGCGAAAGCCUGACGCAGCCAUGCCGCGUGAAUGAUGACGGUCUUAGGAUUGUAAAAUUCUUUCAGCGGGGACGAUAAUGACGGUACCCGCAGAAGAAGCUCCGGCUAACUUCGUG